GCCAGAGUAGCUCAGCUGGUUAGAGCAGCGGAAUCAUAAUCCGCGUGUCGGGGGUUCGAGUCCCUCCUCUGGCA
RNAcentral lists this transfer RNA (74 nucleotides) under Gemmatimonadetes bacterium GWC2_71_9. RNAcentral describes it as "tRNA-Met". It matches the Rfam family "tRNA". Rfam says of the family: Transfer RNA (tRNA) molecules are approximately 80 nucleotides in length. Their secondary structure includes four short double-helical elements and three loops (D, anti-codon, and T loops). RNAcentral also lists the same sequence under 5 other names. The record is from RNAcentral. Lineage: Bacteria; Pseudomonadati; Gemmatimonadota.